Molecule: ribosomal RNA, 305 nt
Filed under: uncultured bacterium
Lineage: Bacteria
Description: bacterial SSU rRNA
Rfam family: Bacterial small subunit ribosomal RNA
Source: RNAcentral
ACCUACGGGAGGCAGCAGUGGGGAAUAUUGCGCAAUGGACGAAAGUCUGACGCAGCGACGCCGCGUGAGGGAUGAAGGUUUUCGGAUCGUAAACCUCUGUCAGGAGGGAAGAAAGCGCAUGGCGCCAAUCAGCCAUGCGUUGACGGUACCUCCAAAGGAAGCGCCGGCUAACUCCGUGCCAGCAGCCGCGGUAAUACGGAGGGCGCGAGCGUUAAUCGGAAUUACUGGGUGUAAAGCGCGCGUAGGCUGUUGUGCAAGUUGGGGGUGAAAUGCCAAGGCUCAACAGUGGAAAAGCGCUGGAUACG